Molecule: ribosomal RNA, 486 nt
Filed under: uncultured bacterium
Lineage: Bacteria
Description: partial 16S ribosomal RNA
Rfam family: Bacterial small subunit ribosomal RNA
Source: RNAcentral
AUUGAACGCUGGCGGCAUGCCUUACACAUGCAAGUCGAACGGCAGCACGGGUGCUUGCACCUGGUGGCGAGUGGCGAACGGGUGAGUAAUACAUCGGAACAUGUCCUGUAGUGGUGGAUAGCCCGGCGAAAGCCGGAUUAAUACCGCAUACGAUCUACGGAUGACAGCGGGGGACCUUCGGGCCUCGCGCUAUAGGGUUGGCCGAUGGCUGAUUAGCUAGUUGGUGGGGUAAAGGCCUACCAAGGCGACGAUCAGUAGCUGGUCUGAGAGGACGACCAGCCACACUGGGACUGAGACACGGCCCAGACUCCUACGGGAGGCAGCAGUGGGGAAUGUUGGACAAUGGGCGAAAGCCUGAUCCAGCAAUGCCGCGUGUGUGAAGAAGGCCUUCGGGUUGUAAAGCACUUUUGUCCGGAAAGAAAUCCUUGGCUCUAAUACAGUCGGGGGAUGACGGUACCGGAAGAAUAAGCACCGGCUAACUACGUG